This 435-nucleotide ribosomal RNA is filed under the name uncultured bacterium. RNAcentral describes it as "partial 16S ribosomal RNA". It matches the Rfam family "Bacterial small subunit ribosomal RNA", at positions 29 to 507 of the family's 1533-position model. The record is from RNAcentral.
AGCGAACGCUGGCGGCAGGCUUAACACAUGCAAGUCGAGCGGGCACUUUCGGGUGUCAGCGGCGGACGGGUGAGUAACGCGUGGGAACGUGCCCUCUGGUUCGGAAUAACUCAGGGAAACUUGAGCUAAUACCGGAUACGCCCUUUUGGGGAAAGGCUUGCUGCCGGAGGAUCGGCCCGCGUCUGAUUAGCUAGUUGGUGAGGUAACGGCUCACCAAGGCGACGAUCAGUAGCUGGUCUGAGAGGAUGAGCAGCCACACUGGGACUGAGACACGGCCCAGACUCCUACGGGAGGCAGCAGUGGGGAAUAUUGGACAACGGGCGCAAGCCUGAUCCAGCCAUGCCGCGUGAGUGAUGAAGGCCUUAGGGUUGUAAAGCUCUUUUAUCCGGGACGAUAAUGACGGUACCGGAGGAAUAAGCCCCGGCUAACUUCGUG